This 30-nucleotide transfer RNA is filed under the name Boana albopunctata (spotted treefrog). RNAcentral's name for it is "partial tRNA-Tyr". Lineage: Eukaryota; Metazoa; Chordata; Amphibia; Anura; Hylidae. The record is from RNAcentral.
UGAUAAGAAGAGGACUUAAACCUCUGUUGA